Molecule: ribosomal RNA, 2006 nt
Filed under: human gut metagenome
Description: bacterial LSU rRNA
Rfam family: Bacterial large subunit ribosomal RNA
Source: RNAcentral
UUAAGCUACAAAGAGCGUAGGGAGAAUGCCUAGGUACCAAGAGCCGAUGAAGGACGUGAUAAGCUGCGAAAAGCUACGGGGAGGAGCAAAUAUCCAUCAAUCCGUAGAUGUCCGAAUGAGGGAACUCAUAUGGCAAAAAGAAGCCAUAUAUCUAUGUACAAGUAAAGUAGUACAUAAGAAGGGAACGUGGGGAACUGAAACAUCUAAGUACCCAUAGGAAGAGAAAAUAAACAAUGAUUUCUGUAGUAGUGGCGAGCGAACCAGAAAGAGCCCAAACCAUAAGUAGAAAUACAUAUGGGGUACGGACUGCAUAAUCCACUAAUUAAUUGAAGGAGAAUCGUCUGGGAAGGCGAACCAAAGAAGGUGAAAGUCCUGUAAAGGAGAGAGAUUAGGGAGGCAGGAUCCAGAGUAGUGCGAGACACGUGGAAUCUCGUAUGAAGAUGUGGGGCCCACCCCAUAAGGCUAAAUACUACUUGGUGACCAAUAGAGAUUAGUACCGUGAGGGAAAGGUGAAAAGAACCCCGGGAGGGGAGUGAAAUAGAACCUGAAACCCUAUGCUUACAAGCAGACAGAGCACGUUAAGGUGUGAUGUCGUACUUUUUGUAGAACGGUCCGGCGAGUUAUUGUAUAUGGCAAGGUUAAGCAUUGAGUAAGAUGUGGAGCCGAAGCGAGAGCGAGUCUGAAAAGGGCGAAUAAGUCAUAUAUAAUAGACCCGAAACCGAGUGACCUAACCAUGGUCAGGCUGAAGGUUGAGUAAAAUCAAUUGGAGGGCCGAACUCAUAGACGUUAAAAAGUCUCGGGAUGAACUGUGGUUAGCGGAGAAAUUCCAAUCGAACUCGGAGAUAGCUGGUUCUCCUCGAAAUAGCUUUAGGGCUAGCCUUGAGAAAAAAGAUAUGUGGGGGUAGAGCACUGAAGGUGCUAGGGGCCUCAACCAGGUUACUGAACACUAUCAAACUACGAAUACCAUAUAGAAAUCUCAGGAGUCAGACUGCGGGAGCUAAGUUCCGUGGUCAAAAGGGAAAGAGCCCAGAUCGUCAAUUAAGGUCCCAAAGAUAUAGCUAAGUGGGAAACGAUGUGAAAUUGCGUAAACAACCAGGAUGUUGGCUUAGAAGCAGCCAUACAUUUAAAGAGUGCGUAAUAGCUCACUGGUCGAGUGAAUUUGCGCGGAAAAUUACCGGGGCUAAGCUAUACACCGAAAUUGCGGAUACAGUGCAUUUAACAGUGUAUGUUAAGUGGAGAAGCUAAAAGAAAGAUAAAGAAGAAAGAAACUAACUAACUAACAUAUAAUGUUAAGUGUACUGUGUGGUAGAGGAGCAUUCUAUAGUAGGAAGAAGUAUGAUCGAAAGGACAUAUGGACGAGAUAGAAGAGAGAAUGCCGGAAUAAGUAGCGAGAGCAAAGUGAGAAUCUUUGCCGUCGAAAGUCUAAGGUUUCCUGGGGAAGGUUCGUCCGCCCAGGGUAAGUCGGGACCUAAGGUGAGGCUGAAAAGCGUAGCCGAUGGACAGCAGGUAUAAAAUUCCUGCACUACCGAAUACUUAAAAGAUUCAAAUGACACAGUAGAGGAAGGGAAUCCAGGAAGAGGAAAAACUGGAGCCGAAAGGCAUAGUGAAAAUAACAAGUAAUGAAGUCCCAAGAAUCACACUGGCGAGAAAAGUUUGAAGAAAUUGUAUAAGGUACCCGUACCGCAAACCGACACAGGUAGAUGAGGAGAGGAUCCUAAGACGAACGGGAGAAGCAUUGUUAAGGAACUCGGCAAAAUGACCCCGUAACUUCGGGAGAAGGGGAACCUAGGUAAAACUAGGUCGCAGAGAAAAGGCCCAAGCAACUGUUUAACAAAAACACAGGUUUCUGCUAAAUCGAAAGAUGAAGUAUAGGAGCUGACGCCUGCCCAGUGCUGGAAGGUUAAGGGGAAGGGUUAGGAGCAAUCCGAAGCCUAGAACUAAAGCCCCAGUGAACGGCGGCCGUAACUAUAACGGUCCUAAGGUAGCGAAAUUCCUUGUCAGGUAAG